UACGUAGGCAGCAAGCGUUGUUCGGAAUUACUGGGCGUAAAGCGUGCGUAGGCGGUUUGUUAAGUCUGUUGUGAAAUCCCCGGGCUCAACCUGGGAAUGGCAAUGGAUACUGGCAAGCUAGAGUGUGUCAGAGGAUGGUGGAAUUCCCGGUGUAGCGGUGAAAUGCGUAGAGAUCGGGAGGAACAUCAGUGGCGAAGGCGGCCAUCUGGGACAACACUGACGCUGAGGCACGAAAGCGUGGGGAGCAAACAGG
This 253-nucleotide ribosomal RNA is filed under the name uncultured bacterium. RNAcentral's name for it is "partial 16S ribosomal RNA". It matches the Rfam family "Bacterial small subunit ribosomal RNA", at positions 524 to 776 of the family's 1533-position model. The record is from RNAcentral.